This 336-nucleotide ribosomal RNA is filed under the name uncultured Leptolinea sp. RNAcentral describes it as "bacterial SSU rRNA". It matches the Rfam family "Bacterial small subunit ribosomal RNA", at positions 1034 to 1382 of the family's 1533-position model. The record is from RNAcentral. Lineage: Bacteria; Bacillati; Chloroflexota; Anaerolineae; Anaerolineales; Anaerolineaceae.
ACAGGUGCUGCAUGGCUGUCGUCAGCUCGUGUCGUGAGAUGUUCGGUUAAGUCCGCUAACGAGCGCAACCCUCGCUUGUGUGUUAUAUGUGUCACACGGGACUGCCGGUCUUAAAGCCGGAGGAAGGUGGGGAUGAUGUCAAGUCAGCAUGGCCUUUAUAUCCUGGGCUACACACACGCUACAAUGGCCAACACAAUAGGUUGCUAAGCCGCGAGGUGGCGCCAAUCCAUAAAGUUGGUCUCAGUUCAGAUUGUAGGCUGCAACCCGCCUGCAUGAAGAUGGAGUUGCUAGUAACCGCAGGUCAGCUAUACUGCGGUGAAUACGUUCCCGGGGCUU